MicroRNA precursor from Otolemur garnettii (small-eared galago), 82 nucleotides. The record is from Ensembl. NCBI's taxonomy places the organism in Eukaryota, Metazoa, Chordata, Mammalia, Primates, Galagidae.
GCUGGCGUCGGUGCUGGGGAGCGGCCCCCGGCGAACCUCUGCUCUGGCCCCUCCUGGGGCCCACACUCUCGCUCUGGGCCCG